CAGGUGGGACUACCUGCUGAACUUAAGCAUAUC
This 33-nucleotide ribosomal RNA is filed under the name Austropuccinia psidii. Its description in RNAcentral is "partial 26S ribosomal RNA". Lineage: Eukaryota; Fungi; Basidiomycota; Pucciniomycetes; Pucciniales; Sphaerophragmiaceae. The record is from RNAcentral.